CUCUUCCUGUCUCUCAUUUUCACUCAUCUCCCACAUCACCUUUUGGUGGCAUCCCCUGCCAGUCACGACAAUGUGGCCGAUUACACCACACAGAUUGCAUCGAUUGUGAGGGCUAAUUGAAAUGCGAGUAGCCCUGGUGUGGCGCGCAUCUGCUCCAUUUGUGAGGCUCGCUUUGGCACGUCUCCUCUCUUCACAUCUGAGGGAAAGUCGAAUGUGAUGCGUCCGCAACGUUUUGCUCAUCAGUUUCUGAAAUGAUGCCAACUUGUUAAGAUGUGACAGUGCAGUAGCCCUUCAGAGAGUCGAGAAAAGUCUGUUGGCUCAAAAUUAAACGAAUACAUCACAUAAAAUAAAGCCUUUAAGGUCAUUGUUUUCUCGCCCUCAUGUCAUCCCAAACCUAUAAUCUGCCAUUUUUUGAAAAAUCUUCAUGCAGCAUCUGCACCGUAACAGAAGUGUGUGACAAACAGACUGAACUGUGAGUCAUUGUUCUGUGAAAAUCUUUCCCUUUGGACGACUUUUAUUGUGGGCCUACUUUUUUGUAAAAAGACUUGACUGUCACAAUCACCAUCCUCUAAAAUUAAACCACAAUACUGAAAGUACAAGAUCAUUUAUACUCUGUGGUAGAACUGUAAAUAGAAACAUACACACAUAUGAAGCUGGUGGAAUGCUAUGCAAAUAUUCAAUAUUUUGACAUUUAACAAACUGCAGUCGCUCAAGUUAUUUCCCCACACAUUAUGGGAUGUGUUUUUCUUGAAGUCACUGAAUAUCAAAAUGUUGCAACAUAACGAUGCAAGGAGUAGAAUUGCAGUGUUUCCUAGCUUUUCUGAAGCAAAGCAGGAGAUUUAUAGGACAUUUUUGUUCAGUUUGACCUAUACAGGUUCUGUGAGAUUGAGGUCUGAAGGCUGGACCGGUCAGAUCAUUAGAGAAAUAUAUUUAGGGGUGCUUGCUAAAACGAGAAUCACUUGUACUUUUAUAGAACAAACUGGUUUGUUGUAAUACCCCUGUGCUAAUCAUUUUCUAUAGGCCUAUAUUAGAUUUUUUCUUUACUUAAAAAAAAAAAAAAAAAAAAAAAAUCAUGGAAACUUGUAGGUAGGCUCUUUUGAAAUUGGUAACCACAUAGCAUCAUGGGGACAAACCUAAUUCAGAACACCCAAUUCAAUUUCAGUUCAAUUUAUUUGUAGGCUAAAAGGUUUUUUUUUUUUUUUUUUCCACCAUAGCUUUAAGGUGGGAAUAAAGCAGUCAGUUAAGUUAACAUUAUUCAGUAAAUGGAUUUCCACUGUAAUUAAAAAUUGUAUAACAAAUACGAUAAUGUAAAUUAAAAAAAGAUGUGUUGUUAUUGCUUUUAUAGCGAGGACGCCGCCAUCUUGUAGUACUACAGACGUCACGGGGUUGGUUGGCUUCGUUGGAUUAAUAAAGAUUAUUAUAGUUUCUAGCCUUUGAUUGGUAUGCUUAGAUGCUCUGUAAUAGUUACUAGCAAUAGAUAAACUCAUAAUAUCGGUCACCGAGUAGUUGACCAAUAGAGGGCUCCAGUGCUUAAAAAAUAGGCGAACAAAAAUAAGUCUGGACUCCAGAAGGAAAAAGCUGGUUAUUGCACGCAAUACAAAAAGUUCAAAAAAGACAGCAAGGACGACGAUGGGGUUUGGUAUAACGUUUGGAGAUUAUCCAAUGUAUGGACUCCUGAUUGGUGGAAUCACGGAAUAACAAUCUUAUGCCGGCGGAGUCAAUAAUUUCACUAAUCUUGGACUAUCUCCUGUGAGCAGUAGUUGGUCCCUUGGUGAGAAGCCAUUCUGAAAAAAUCAAUGCUGUCGAAAACAAGAAGCCUGGAUAUUACACAAGGCUAAAGCCUAUUAUGUCAGUGCCGACAAUAAAAGUAUUUUUCAGUUCUUUCACGUGUGCAUGUGUGAUUUGCAUACUUAUUACGUUCCAGAAGAUUAUAGAGGAGUGCUGUGCCAAUGCUGAAUGGUGGUGGGUCUUCUAGUCUUCUGUGUGUUUUGUGGAGCAUUGAUCUGUCUUCUGUUGAUGACUGUCAUAAUCUCUGAGAUUUUGCUCAAUUGUACAUACAGUUUUACAGUUUCUUGAUGUUCUUUAUUAGUCCAUGUACUACGCAUGUUUGGUUGAAUUUUGUUUUUGUUUAUAGUUUUGAGCCUUAGAACAAACAAAUAUAUGCAGAAUACUAUAUAUGCAGUAUUGAUAUGCUAUUAUAUACUAUAUAUGCAGAAAGGCGUGUGUGAGGGUAUUGAUAUAGUAUUAUAAUUUUUGUUAAUAUUUUUAAAUUGCUUUUUAUAUGUUCUGUUUUUUUAGUACUUUUCAAUUUUUUUUUAUUUUAAUAUAUAUAUUUUUAUAUGACUAUAGAUUUUUAUAAUUUUUUUGUUUAUAAUUUUAGUUAUUUUAGUACUUAAAGUAAAACUUUAAGUACUAACAAAUUUUUAAAAAUGCCUUGGUAACUAGCUGAAAUUAAGUAUUUUUUUUUUUUUUUUUUAAUAUUUUAUUUCAAAUAACGUUUAUUUUAUUUCAAGUAAGGAUUUUUUUUUUUUAUUUUAGUUAAUUAUAAAUUUAAUAUUAUAAUAUUUAACAGCACAAAGGUAGAAUAAACUUACACACACACACACACACACAUAUAUAUAUAUAUAUAUAUAUAUAUAUAAUAAACUGACAUAUUAUACCCAAAAAUUCUUCAUACAGUGGACUACCAGUAAAAUUGACAAAAAUUUGACCUGACCAUGUUUUGCUUAAGUGUUAUCUGACACAGUUUAACUCUGAGAUCUUGUCAUAUUUUAUUACAAUUUUUUUUUUUUUAAACUAAAGUGAAUAAACUGUAUUACUGAGUGAAAUG
Long non-coding RNA from Ctenopharyngodon idella (grass carp), 2830 nucleotides. RefSeq lists it as uncharacterized. NCBI's taxonomy places the organism in Eukaryota, Metazoa, Chordata, Actinopteri, Cypriniformes, Xenocyprididae. The transcript is spliced from 3 exons. The record is from RefSeq and is a predicted model, not a curated record.